UGUACAGUUUGUGCUCAACUCCGAUGAACAACACUUAUAUCGUUUGCUUCAUUAUUACAACUGAAAAAAUAAUCGAUAAAACAAUUUUUUGGCGGGAAAUAGGUCACAAUGGAUUUUUUACUCCCUGUUUUUUUGUUCUGUUUAAUAAUUCUAUUAAAAUCGCCACGGAGCUUAAGCGAUAAAAUGAAAUGUGAAAAAAUCAAAUACAAAGGUCCCGUUUGCGGCACAAAUGCGGUCACUUAUGAAAAUUAUUGUGCAAUUGAGUUGGAUCAAAUGUUUGAAAAAGAAAUGUACAAUAAAAUCAAUCUGCUUGUUAUACACGAAGGGAAGUGCUUUUCCACUAGUGAAGAUGUACCCGAUGAUGAUGAAGACACCGAAUAUUAUUAAAGAAAUUUUUUUCGAAA
Bombyx mori (domestic silkworm) is the source of this 404-nucleotide long non-coding RNA. RefSeq lists it as uncharacterized. Lineage: Eukaryota; Metazoa; Arthropoda; Insecta; Lepidoptera; Bombycidae. The record is from RefSeq and is a predicted model, not a curated record. The transcript is spliced from 2 exons.